Venturia canescens is the source of this 1226-nucleotide long non-coding RNA. RefSeq lists it as uncharacterized. The record is from RefSeq and is a predicted model, not a curated record. NCBI's taxonomy places the organism in Eukaryota, Metazoa, Arthropoda, Insecta, Hymenoptera, Ichneumonidae. The transcript is spliced from 2 exons.
GUCGCUAUUUGCGCUACAAACGCUAACGUUAUCAUUGAAUGAUAUUACUAUAUCUUGUAUUUUUAGCGCAAAUAGCGACUCCCUGAACGCGCCCUAAAUAUCUCAAUUUCACGACGGUAAAUCAUCGGCAUAUCCCGCCAGAAGUUUAAUACUGUCUUAAGCUGUUUUAACAUAAGAUACGCUUCAACCUCCUUAAGUAAAAUUCUCUAUGCGAUUACGAUAUCAGGUCUUUGGUUUUUUAUUUUUUCAACUAUACAUCCAGUGUGUGCGGGAACCUAGUGCCUAGUGCCCAGUGUGUCAAGUGCAGCUCGCUCGCCGGGCAAGAACGGGAAGUUAGCGGGAUUUUGCUUUUGCUCUACUCUACGUACGGGGCUGCUGCUGUUGCUGCAGGUGUAUAGGUGGUAUAGGGUAGGGUCAUAGACCACGUUUACACGGCCCUCUUAUUCCGGUUUAGUUAUAUCAAUAUAGAUAUACAAAAUGCAUAUCUGUCGAUAUAUAUAAAUAUACCCGUCUGUAUAUACAAAACCGGAAUAAGAGGGCCGUGUAAACGUAGUCGUAGAAGGUCUGUAAACUCGAGAGCUAAAGACACUUUAACCUUCAUUGAAUUUCUUCUUCCGUUAUCAGAUUAAUUUUUUUUACAAAUAUUCUUCGGUGAUCAAUUAUAACGGUUUACCAUUUUUACAAAAAAUCAAUUGAAAAGAAAUUGACAUAAAUAUUCGAUAGUCUUGGCAACUUGGCAAUCUCAUGGUGAUAUCGGAAUUCGGAAUGUCGUUAAACAUUUCAUGAUAGCAAGAAUUUAAUUUUUCUUCUAAACGACGUAAAUGGUAAUAUGUUUUGAACUAUAUCGUUUCGUUGGUUGAAUAUUAUAUUCAUAAUUUUCGAAGGGCAAUAAUAAAUCGGGUAAGACAAUAAAAAUCAUCGGUACAAUUAAUAACUAGUGUUUUUUUUGACUUCUCAGAGACAUUCUCCUCCUUCUUCCUUCAUUAAGGUGGAGAUGUUAGCGAACUCUGCUUUUGUAGUAUAAAAAAACAUUAAUUCUGUUUUUUAAAAUUUUUUCAUGUGGUAAAAUACUCAUUUCAAUUCUCAAGAAAUUGAUCAAGCCGCCAGGGUGCAGGAAAAUGAAAAAAUGAUCAAUGAUGCACUGAUAACUUUAUUUUUAAUUCACAUUGAAUUGGACGUAACAAGCUUUUUCACCAGAUAGGUUGCUCUCUUAAUGUUGGUGCUUC